AUUGAACGCUAGCGGGAUGCCUUACACAUGCAAGUCGAACGGCAGCACGGACUUCGGUCUGGUGGCGAGUGGCGAACGGGUGAGUAAAGUAUCGGAACGUGCCCAGUAGAGGGGGAUAACUACGCGAAAGCGUAGCUAAUAACGCAUACGCCCUGAGGGGGAAAGCGGGGGAUGGCAAGACCUCGCGUUAUGGGAGCGGCUGAUAUCGGAGUAGCUAGUUGGUAGGGUAAAGGCCUACCAAGGCGACGAUCCGUAGCUGGUUUGAGAGGACGACCAGCCACACUGGGACUGAGACACGGCCCAGACUCCUACGGGAGGCAGCAGUGGGGAAUUUUGGACAAUGGGGGCAACCCUGAUCCAGCCAUUUCGCGUGUGCGAUGAAGGCCUUCGGGUUGUAAAGCACUUUUGGCAGGGAAGAAAAGGUUUGGGCUAAUACCCUGAGCCGCUGACGGUACCUGCAGAAUAAGCACCGGCUAACUACGUGCCAGCAGCCGCGGUAA
RNAcentral lists this ribosomal RNA (500 nucleotides) under uncultured bacterium. RNAcentral's name for it is "partial 16S ribosomal RNA". It matches the Rfam family "Bacterial small subunit ribosomal RNA", at positions 29 to 523 of the family's 1533-position model. The record is from RNAcentral.